CCAUACAAAGCAUAUCAAUGUGCCUGGUAAGUAAUAAAUAUGGUCUCAAGUCACACAGUUUAAAUUUGUAUUUGAUCGCCCUUACCAAACUUUGGGACUGAUAAUUAAUGAACAAUAUUUUUAUACUGUACUGUCAUUAAUGUUUAGUGAAGAUUUGAAAAUUCUAGACUAAUUUUGUUUUAUCUUGUUUUUUUAUGUCUCAGUUUUGUGACUGGAGCUGGGUUGGCCAGUUCUCAUCUGUGUGAGUUGUUCCAGACACUUAAGUAUGUGGAUCCAAGGUGUUACAGAGAAGGUGGAUCCAGAAAAGUCAAGACAGAAACCUGUGUAGAACCUGACAAGCGGCUGGCUAAAUUACCCUUGUUUCAUAUGGAAUCAUUUCAUCAGGGGUUUUAUCAACAGUUCCACCAAAGAUUGGCAGACACACUUGCAUACUCCUGUGUGUUGCCCAUUUUUUUAAAAACCUUUUGUUAGAAGAGUGUGCUUUUUUUUUUUUUUUGGUAAAUGUAACCGGAUGUAUGCAGGGUUCAGGGGAACCCUGAAAAGAGCCUUAAGCUUAUGAUCUCCUUAGUAGAGUGAAGCACACAGUGAAGAUAACUGUUAAGGGAUUUUUUGGAAGGUAAGUCAUGUUCUCAUCUUUUGGCCUAGUAAGAAGCUAAACGUGAAGUUGGUCCUGGCUGUUACAUGCACCCUGAUGUUUACUUCUUUUUAUUUUCAUAUUCACUGUGUAAUCUAAAGAAGAAUGUAAUGAAAGGAAGGACAUUGGAAAAGAAAGAGGGAGUGUUUGGGGUAAUUUGUUCAGAGCAGAUUCCAGUAAAGAAACCUUGAAGGCCGUAGCUCUCCCCAUAGCAUUCUCCCUCGCAGCCUUUACUUUUUUCUCUAUUGCCUUCAAAGAUAACAAGUGGAGCAAAACCACUGCUAGUUAUUGUUUUUGGUUUAUAUGACCUGUUUUAUUUUAAAGCUGAUCUGUUACUCAUUCAUAUUAAUUGUAAAACUUUAAAAUUCCAUUGAUUUCUGUCUGUUUGUCUGUGCAAGUUCUUUUAUUACUAUAAACAAUCUUGUUUAUUUUGUUCAGUCUAUGAGAAGGUAUAAA
This is a long non-coding RNA of Eublepharis macularius, 1090 nucleotides long. RefSeq lists it as uncharacterized. The transcript has 3 exons. The record is from RefSeq and is a predicted model, not a curated record. Lineage: Eukaryota; Metazoa; Chordata; Lepidosauria; Squamata; Eublepharidae.